RNAcentral lists this ribosomal RNA (487 nucleotides) under uncultured bacterium. Its description in RNAcentral is "bacterial SSU rRNA". It matches the Rfam family "Bacterial small subunit ribosomal RNA", at positions 28 to 526 of the family's 1533-position model. The record is from RNAcentral.
GAUGAACGCUGGCGGCGUGCUUAACACAUGCAAGUGGAGCGACGAAGCGGGCUUCGGCCCGUGGCAGAGCCGCGAACGGGUGAGUAACACGUGGGUAACCUACCCCGAUGACCGGGACAACCCGAGGAAACUCGAGCUAAUACCGGAUGUUCUCACUUCUCGUAAGGGAAGUGAGCAAAGAUAGCUUCGGCCUUCGCAUCGGGACGGGCCCGCGGCCCAUUAGCUUGUUGGUGGGGUAAUGGCCUACCAAGGCUUCGAUGGGUAGCUGGUCUGAGAGGACGAUCAGCCACACUGGGACUGAGACACGGCCCAGACUCCUACGGGAGGCAGCAGUGGGGAAUCUUGCGCAAUGCGCGAAAGCGUGACGCAGCAACGCCGCGUGGGGGAAGAAGGCCUUCGGGUUGUAAACCCCUUUCAGCUGGGAAGAUAAUGACGGUACCAGCAGAAGAAGCCCCGGCUAACUCCGUGCCAGCAGCCGCGGUAAAAC